This 497-nucleotide ribosomal RNA is filed under the name uncultured bacterium. RNAcentral's name for it is "partial 16S ribosomal RNA". It matches the Rfam family "Bacterial small subunit ribosomal RNA", at positions 28 to 507 of the family's 1533-position model. The record is from RNAcentral.
GACGAACGCUGGCGGCGUGCCUAAUACAUGCAAGUAGAACGCUGAAGAGAGGAGCUUGCUCUUCUUGGAUGAGUUGCGAACGGGUGAGUAACGCGUAGGUAACCUGCCUUGUAGCGGGGGAUAACUAUUGGAAACGAUAGCUAAUACCGCAUAACAAUGGAUGACACAUGUCAUUUAUUUGAAAGGGGCAAUUGCUCCACUACAAGAUGGACCUGCGUUGUAUUAGCUAGUAGGUGAGGUAAUGGCUCACCUAGGCGACGAUACAUAGCCGACCUGAGAGGGUGAUCGGCCACCCUGGGACUGAGACACGGCCCAGACUCCUACGGGAGGCAGCAGUAGGGAAUCUUCGGCAAUGGGGGCAACCCUGACCGAGCAACGCCGCGUGAGUGAAGAAGGUUUUCGGAUCGUAAAGCUCUGUUGUAAGUCAAGAACGGGUGUGAGAGUGGAAAGUUCACACUGUGACGGUAGCUUACCAGAAAGGGACGGCUAACUACGUG